UCCCUGGUGGCUCAGAGGUAAAGCGUCUGCCUGCAGUCCAGGAGACCCAGGUUUGAUCCCUGGGUCGGGAA
This 71-nucleotide transfer RNA is filed under the name Bos taurus (domestic cattle). It matches the Rfam family "tRNA". From Rfam's summary of the family: Transfer RNA (tRNA) molecules are approximately 80 nucleotides in length. Their secondary structure includes four short double-helical elements and three loops (D, anti-codon, and T loops). Further hydrogen bonds mediate the characteristic L-shaped molecular structure. tRNAs have two regions of fundamental functional importance: the anti-codon, which is responsible for specific mRNA codon recognition, and the 3' end, to which the tRNAs corresponding amino acid is attached (by aminoacyl-tRNA synthetases). tRNAs cope with the degeneracy of the genetic code in two manners: having more than one tRNA (with a specific anti-codon) for a particular amino acid; and 'wobble' base-pairing, i.e. permitting non-standard base-pairing at the 3rd anti-codon position. The record is from Rfam by way of RNAcentral. RNAcentral also lists the same sequence under 5 other names. Lineage: Eukaryota; Metazoa; Chordata; Mammalia; Artiodactyla; Bovidae.